This 265-nucleotide long non-coding RNA is filed under the name Elaeis guineensis (African oil palm). Its description in RNAcentral is "long non-coding RNA (EGUI_LNC013041)". Lineage: Eukaryota; Viridiplantae; Streptophyta; Magnoliopsida; Arecales; Arecaceae. The record is from RNAcentral.
GGAGUAGAAGGUGUUGAGUGUUGGGAUGUUUUCAAGGUUGGCAGAGAGAGGGAGAGGAGGUUGGAGACCAAACUGGUAUGCUUGUUCCUAACCUUUACCUUCUCACCAAACUCGUACCUCCCUCAACGUCCCCCAGGACGGCAGAGGCAGCUGCAACCUGAAGUUAUUCUUGUAGGCGAUGGUAUCUUAGCUACGGGGUUUAGAAAUAGUAAGGGGCGAUGACACCAACCCAAGCUGUGGCUGGUGGCCCACCACAUUCUUCUCC